AGUGAACGCUGGCGACGUGCCUAAUACAUGCAAGUCGAACGGAAUUUAAAAGAGCUUGCUCUUUUGAAUUUAGUGGCGCACGGGUGAGUAAUAUAUAGCUAAUCUGCCCCUUGCUGGAGGACAACAGUUAGAAAUGACUGCUAAUACUCCAUACUCCUUUUUACCAUAAGAUAAAUCGGGAAAGAAUUUCGGCAAGGGAUGAGACUAUAUCGUAUCAGCUAGUCGGUGGGGUAACGGCCUACCGAGGCUAUGACGCGUAACUGGUCUGAGAGGAUGAUCAGUCACAUUGGAACUGAGACACGGUCCAAACUCCUACGGGAGGCAGCAGUAGGGAAUAUUGCGCAAUGGGGGAAACCCUGACGCAGCAACGCCGCGUGGAGGAUGACACUUUUCGGAGCGUAAACUCCUUUUGUUAGGGAAGAAUAAUGACGGUACCUAACGAAUAAGCACCGGCUAA
Molecule: ribosomal RNA, 457 nt
Filed under: Campylobacter gracilis
Lineage: Bacteria; Pseudomonadati; Campylobacterota; Epsilonproteobacteria; Campylobacterales; Campylobacteraceae
Description: bacterial SSU rRNA
Rfam family: Bacterial small subunit ribosomal RNA
Source: RNAcentral